Molecule: non-coding RNA, 84 nt
Organism: Punctularia strigosozonata HHB-11173 SS5
Lineage: Eukaryota; Fungi; Basidiomycota; Agaricomycetes; Corticiales; Punctulariaceae
Source: the annotation of a RefSeq genome assembly
GGCCUGGUGGUCUAGUAGUAUGAUUCCUUCUUAGGGACUUGAGCCGUUUGGAGGAGGUCCCGGGUUCAAUUCCCGGCUAGGCCC